UACGGGGGGGGCAAGCGUUGUUCGGAAUUACUGGGCGUAAAGGGCUCGUAGGCGGCCAACUAAGUCAGACGUGAAAUCCCUCGGCUUAACCGGGGAACUGCGUCUGAUACUGGAUGGCUUGAGUUUGGGAGAAGGAUGCGGAAUUCCAGGUGUAGCGGUGAAAUGCGUAGAUAUCUGGAGGAACACCGGUGGCGAAGGCGGCAUCCUGGACCAACACUGACACUGAGGCACGAAAGCGUGGGGAGCAAACAGG
Molecule: ribosomal RNA, 253 nt
Filed under: uncultured bacterium
Lineage: Bacteria
Description: partial 16S ribosomal RNA
Rfam family: Bacterial small subunit ribosomal RNA
Source: RNAcentral